CAGUGUGUGUCGCUGCCUCCUCGUCCCUGUGCGGAGGCGGACGUACCUCGAUCUCGUUCGCUGAGGCGCUGUCGAAGUUGAGGUGAGGUCUGAACAUGACCACGUCGGUGGGAUACUGAACUCUGUGGAUCAUCUCUGAGGAAUCAGACCAACGUCAGGUAAACAAAGGAUCCCCGCUGACACAGCUCAAACACCCCAAACACUCCGUACUCAAACUUCACCGUGCCGUAGAACUUGGUCAGGUUGUAGUAAUCGAUGCGCAGCAGCUGAAAGGUGAAGAUGAGGCAGGAGAGGAGAAUCAGUGAGGAGGUGGAACUACGUCCCGGUGAUCUGCUCUGUAACAACCUGGAGGUUUUCUCACGGUGUUGAGCUCGAUCUUCUGGUCCUCGUUGAAGUCGCCGUCUAAGUGCUUCAGCUCCUUCAAGAUCACCGGCUGGAGAAGAGAGAGAGAACACGGUUACACUCUGAGAGAACAGGCUCCACAGGAUCAGAAGAUCAGAGCGAUGGCCGUCACCACGAUGACACUGAGACUCAGCACGAUCACAAUCACAUCCUGCAUAUUUAGACCUGGAAUCAAACAGUGGCCUCAUCAAGCACAACAUCACAGUGACUCCUGGAUCAAAGAAUAUCCCUGUACCAUCACAGUUUUCUCAUUUUGAUUAUAUUAUUGAAUAUUAAAUUGUUAUUGCUAUUAAAAAUACAAAUGCAAACGUU
This is a long non-coding RNA of Platichthys flesus (European flounder), 714 nucleotides long. RefSeq lists it as uncharacterized. The transcript is spliced from 3 exons. Lineage: Eukaryota; Metazoa; Chordata; Actinopteri; Pleuronectiformes; Pleuronectidae. The record is from RefSeq and is a predicted model, not a curated record.